This 862-nucleotide long non-coding RNA is filed under the name Homo sapiens (human). RNAcentral describes it as "HSALNT0121187". The record is from RNAcentral. Lineage: Eukaryota; Metazoa; Chordata; Mammalia; Primates; Hominidae.
CUGGCCCUGGGAGGACUUUUCUGAAUCCAGACCAGAGCUAGGAAGACCCAGUUGAGACAGCGGACACUAGAGCAGCCUGGAAGGGAACACCUGCCUACGAAGCCCCUAGGAGCAUGAGGUGUUUCCUCCCACAGCUUCCUGUCCUGCCCAGGGCUAAGAGGACAAGACUGGCAGAAGGACAACCAGCAAUGCUGAGGGACUGUGGCUCAAGGCACUGAUGUCAUUGCCUUGGGUUGCAGUUUUUCUUUUUUUGAAGGAGUCUAACUCUGUCACCUAGGCUGGAGUGCAGUGGAGCAAUUGCGGCUCACUGCAGCCUCAACUUCCUGGGCUCAAGCAAUCCUCCCACCUCAGCCUCAUGAGUAGCUUGGACUACAGUGCCCGAGGGGCAAAACUGCAGCAGAGUGGCUCCUGUAUCCUCAGCACUCAACAUGGACCCCGUUGUUGGUGUUCAAGAAACAUUUGAGGAGCUGCACUUACUUGGAAUGAGAAAAAGUUACACCCAUGACCUCCAGUCUGUCCCUUCAGGAGAUAAAGCGAGUCUGUGACAUGGCCACAGAUGCCUGCAGUCCCAGCCCCCUGGCCAGAAGCAUUUCUGUAGGUUACAGCUGAGAGCCUUCAGCCAGGUCAGUAUGAAAUGAAAAUGAAAAGCUCAUAUUUUGUUGUUUUUUUUUUUUUGAGGAGGGAGAGGGUAUAUUAACGGCAUUCUUCAGUAAUGAUAAGAAUAUGUUUCUUUUCUUUUUUUUAAGACAGGGUCUCUCUCUCUGUCACCCAGGCUGGACUGCACUGGCAUGAUCUUGGCUCACUGCAACCUCUGCUCCCCAGGCUCAAGUGAUCCUCCUACCUCAGCCUCCCAAAGUGCUGG